ACAUUAGUUUUCUAGGGUUCCGCAGUACGCUGGUCAGGUCCAAGAGAAAACACACAGUUGGAAACUGUGCACACGGAGGGAUAAAAGCCCGGGAGAU
This 97-nucleotide small RNA is filed under the name Heyndrickxia coagulans. Its description in RNAcentral is "Bacillus coagulans Guanidine-I sequence". It matches the Rfam family "Guanidine-I riboswitch aptamer". From Rfam's summary of the family: This family represents a conserved RNA structure found upstream of the ykkC and yxkD genes in Bacillus subtilis and related genes in other bacteria. The function of this family is unclear although it has been suggested that it may function to switch on efflux pumps and detoxification systems in response to harmful environmental molecules. The record is from RNAcentral. RNAcentral also lists the same sequence under 1 other name. Lineage: Bacteria; Bacillati; Bacillota; Bacilli; Caryophanales; Bacillaceae.